UUUUAUUUGUCUGAAAAUAUCUCUGGAGAGGAAUUCAAAAUAGGCAGACCUUCUCUUCACACUCUGUAAGGAAGGUAUAGAAGUUAUUUCUGCUCUUUCAUUAACCUCUUUACCUAUUUAGAAAACUAUUAUUUUGAAUCAAGAGGUGGUGCCAGCAAAAACUAAGUCACAUGUUUCUUUUCAGUGACAGAUACACUGUCUCCGGGAUAUGUCAGGAACCUGACCUCAGUCAUGACAAUACUGAGCUGUCUGCAGAACACCACGGCCAACUGUACAGAAAAAGCUGUGGAGCGUUUUCCCUGAGUGAGGAGGGACUGAAAAGGCUUCUGACCAUCUGGAACUGGCUGAAAACAGGGGGAAGCCUCAAAACUGGUACAGAUCUGUGUGAAAAGCAAAGGACAUUCCUAAGACAAUGAAAAAGACUUUGCAUUGGACCGUCUGCUUCCCCUGACAGUCAUUACAUCUCGUUUUGGGCCCUCACACGCGAAGGGGAAGAGUACCUGGAUCCAGUGGACUCCUAAGCCUGCACCCCCACGGCAAGGAUAGGUAAAUAAUGAUGAUUUCCUUGAAAAACUCUUAAGUUCCUGGGGGCCCCAGAAAAGGCAUUUGGACUUUGAGUUUCGUUUACUUUAUCUAAAAAGCACAUUUAUGUACUAUAUAUUUACUUUUUCCUUGAGUAUCUGGUGCAACACUUUUACAAGGAACCAACAGUAUUAGUAAAUACAGGUAAGUGACUGGCGACAUACAAGGAAAAAAACAAUCAGGCAUAGGCAAAUCAAAGACGUAAUCCAAAACAGGUAUUUCUGAGUAGUGGAUUAUGUUGUCUAAACCACAUCUCCACAUUAGAAAAGGGCAUUCAGGCAUUACAGUCGUGUUUGCUCGAGAUAAAGGUUUUCACAGAAGACGCCUCUGCCUAUGCAGAAACUACUCUCUUGGAGUCUGAGUAAGCUUUAUCAAAAACACACACUGCUAUAAUAAAUCCACAGUAUAAAAUCAUAAAA
This is a long non-coding RNA of Peromyscus leucopus (white-footed mouse), 1001 nucleotides long. RefSeq lists it as uncharacterized. The record is from RefSeq and is a predicted model, not a curated record. NCBI's taxonomy places the organism in Eukaryota, Metazoa, Chordata, Mammalia, Rodentia, Cricetidae. The transcript is spliced from 2 exons.